RNAcentral lists this ribosomal RNA (2771 nucleotides) under Klebsiella pneumoniae. RNAcentral describes it as "bacterial LSU rRNA". It matches the Rfam family "Bacterial large subunit ribosomal RNA". Lineage: Bacteria; Pseudomonadati; Pseudomonadota; Gammaproteobacteria; Enterobacterales; Enterobacteriaceae. The record is from RNAcentral.
AGCGUACACGGUGGAUGCCCUGGCAGUCAGAGGCGAUGAAGGACGUGCUAAUCUGCGAAAAGCGUCGGUAAGGUGAUAUGAACCGUUAUAACCGGCGAUGUCCGAAUGGGGAAACCCAGUGCAAUUCGUUGCACUAUCGUUAACUGAAUACAUAGGUUAACGAGGCGAACCGGGGGAACUGAAACAUCUAAGUACCCCGAGGAAAAGAAAUCAACCGAGAUUCCCCCAGUAGCGGCGAGCGAACGGGGAGCAGCCCAGAGUCUGAAUCAGCUUGUGUGUUAGUGGAACGGUCUGGAAAGUCCGACGGUACAGGGUGAUAGUCCCGUACACCAAAAUGCACAGGUUGUGAACUCGAAGAGUAGGGCGGGACACGUGGUAUCCUGUCUGAAUAUGGGGGGACCAUCCUCCAAGGCUAAAUACUCCUGACUGACCGAUAGUGAACCAGUACCGUGAGGGAAAGGCGAAAAGAACCCCGGCGAGGGGAGUGAAAAAGAACCUGAAACCGUGUACGUACAAGCAGUGGGAGCACCUUCGGGUGUGACUGCGUACCUUUUGUAUAAUGGGUCAGCGACUUAUAUUCUGUAGCAAGGUUAACCGUAUAGGGGAGCCGCAGGGAAACCGAGUCUUAACUGGGCGUUAAGUUGCAGGGUAUAGACCCGAAACCCGGUGAUCUAGCCAUGGGCAGGUUGAAGGUUGGGUAACACUAACUGGAGGACCGAACCGACUAAUGUUGAAAAAUUAGCGGAUGACUUGUGGCUGGGGGUGAAAGGCCAAUCAAACCGGGAGAUAGCUGGUUCUCCCCGAAAGCUAUUUAGGUAGCGCCUCGUGAACUCAUCUUCGGGGGUAGAGCACUGUUUCGGCUAGGGGGUCAUCCCGACUUACCAACCCGAUGCAAACUACGAAUACCGAAGAAUGUUAUCACGGGAGACACACGGCGGGUGCUAACGUCCGUCGUGAAGAGGGAAACAACCCAGACCGCCAGCUAAGGUCCCAAAGUCAUGGUUAAGUGGGAAACGAUGUGGGAAGGCACAGACAGCCAGGAUGUUGGCUUAGAAGCAGCCAUCAUUUAAAGAAAGCGUAAUAGCUCACUGGUCGAGUCGGCCUGCGCGGAAGAUGUAACGGGGCUAAACCAUGCACCGAAGCUGCGGCAGCGACACUAUGUGUUGUUGGGUAGGGGAGCGUUCUGUAAGCCUGCGAAGGUGUGCUGUGAGGCAUGCUGGAGGUAUCAGAAGUGCGAAUGCUGACAUAAGUAACGAUAAAGCGGGUGAAAAGCCCGCUCGCCGGAAGACCAAGGGUUCCUGUCCAACGUUAAUCGGGGCAGGGUGAGUCGACCCCUAAGGCGAGGCCGAAAGGCGUAGUCGAUGGGAAACAGGUUAAUAUUCCUGUACUUGGUGUUACUGCGAAGGGGGGACGGAGAAGGCUAUGUUAGCCGGGCGACGGUUGUCCCGGUUUAAGCAUGUAGGCUGGUUAUCCAGGCAAAUCCGGAUAAUCAAGGCUGAGGUGUGAUGACGAGGCACUACGGUGCUGAAGUAACAAAUGCCCUGCUUCCAGGAAAAGCCUCUAAGCAUCAGGUAACAUCAAAUCGUACCCCAAACCGACACAGGUGGUCAGGUAGAGAAUACCAAGGCGCUUGAGAGAACUCGGGUGAAGGAACUAGGCAAAAUGGUGCCGUAACUUCGGGAGAAGGCACGCUGGUGUGUAGGUGAAGCCCCUGCGGGUGGAGCUGAGACCAGUCGAAGAUACCAGCUGGCUGCAACUGUUUAUUAAAAACACAGCACUGUGCAAACACGAAAGUGGACGUAUACGGUGUGACGCCUGCCCGGUGCCGGAAGGUUAAUUGAUGGGGUUAUCCGUAAGGAGAAGCUCUUGAUCGAAGCCCCGGUAAACGGCGGCCGUAACUAUAACGGUCCUAAGGUAGCGAAAUUCCUUGUCGGGUAAGUUCCGACCUGCACGAAUGGCGUAAUGAUGGCCAGGCUGUCUCCACCCGAGACUCAGUGAAAUUGAACUCGCUGUGAAGAUGCAGUGUACCCGCGGCAAGACGGAAAGACCCCGUGAACCUUUACUAUAGCUUGACACUGAACAUUGAGCCUUGAUGUGUAGGAUAGGUGGGAGGCUUUGAAGCGUGGACGCCAGUCUGCGUGGAGCCAACCUUGAAAUACCACCCUUUAAUGUUUGAUGUUCUAACGUUGGCCCCUUACCGGGGUUGCGGACAGUGUCUGGUGGGUAGUUUGACUGGGGCGGUCUCCUCCCAAAGCGUAACGGAGGAGCACGAAGGUUAGCUAAUCCUGGUCGGACAUCAGGAGGUUAGUGCAAUGGCAUAAGCUAGCUUGACUGCGAGCGUGACGGCGCGAGCAGGUGCGAAAGCAGGUCAUAGUGAUCCGGUGGUUCUGAAUGGAAGGGCCAUCGCUCAACGGAUAAAAGGUACUCCGGGGAUAACAGGCUGAUACCGCCCAAGAGUUCAUAUCGACGGCGGUGUUUGGCACCUCGAUGUCGGCUCAUCACAUCCUGGGGCUGAAGUAGGUCCCAAGGGUAUGGCUGUUCGCCAUUUAAAGUGGUACGCGAGCUGGGUUUAGAACGUCGUGAGACAGUUCGGUCCCUAUCUGCCGUGGGCGCUGGAGAAUUGAGGGGGGCUGCUCCUAGUACGAGAGGACCGGAGUGGACGCAUCACUGGUGUUCGGGUUGUCAUGCCAAUGGCACUGCCCGGUAGCUAAAUGCGGAAGAGAUAAGUGCUGAAAGCAUCUAAGCACGAAACUUGCCCCGAGAUGAGUUCU